CCUUGAGAAAUAAUAACAAAACAAAAUUAUCAUUUUCCAAUUCCAAAGUUCUGAAAUUCUGAACUAAGAAAUAUGGCUGUUGAAAAUUAAGUUUGUUAAUGCACAAAUCACAAUUGAAAUUCACAAAUUGUGCAGGCAUAUAAAGUUUACAUUUAACCCAUAGUCCAUUCUACACAAUCCCGAUUUUAUACUUAUGUGACAACGUACAAACCAUCAGCAGUAGGCAUUCCCUCAUUCAAGGUCCGGGGACGAUGGUGUUUCGAUUCCUUCUGCGCUACUUCUCGAACCAUCCUCAUCUCAUUGAUCGUUUGUCAGAGUCUUAUCCUAUGCGUCGAGCGGCCCAACUGACGGUCUACCUGUUCCAUCGCUCCAAAUCCCUGCUGGAGGACACGGCCGUGAAGCAGAAAGCCAUCCAGUUCAAGGACAAAUUUGCAGACGAGCUGAAAAAAGAAUGGGGCAAGGCUCGAGGUGGAAAAUAAGUAAUUAGAUAAAUGAGUCACAGGUACCACGAAAAGGAUAACGCAUUUAUAGUCAGCCAAUUUGAGCCAAUUAAAUAUAUAUAUUAAUGCCAUCUGAUUAAGAAGGAUAAGAAACUAAAAUCUGACCUGUCCAAUAAAUUUGUAAUGAUUAUUACUAGUAGUAUGCAAGGCGAGAAUCUUAAUAAAUAUUAGUCUACUAGUAUCGAAAUAAACCAGUACACUAACACACUUGA
Molecule: long non-coding RNA, 712 nt
Organism: Folsomia candida
Lineage: Eukaryota; Metazoa; Arthropoda; Collembola; Entomobryomorpha; Isotomidae
Exons: 2
Source: RefSeq, a predicted model, not a curated record